GGAAGCGGCCCUCAGCCCUUGGCCCAGCUGUUCUAGGCCUGCUUUCAGGGAUCCAGGAAGAAAGUGACCAACCCAUGCAAACUUAGGGCAAAACUAACCAUAUUUAACAGUAGGCCAAAAUGCGAAUUUGAAACUCAUUCCGAAUGCCUUUCCAGGGAGGUGGCCACAGCUGAUGAAAGACCUCACGCUUGUUCCAACAGGCCCUGGGAGCUGAAUUGUAUCCCUGAAACUGGCCUAGCUUCCUUCAGCUCAACAGAGCAGCUGAAAGCCCUGGCAAAUCCUACUCAGAGAUUAAAAAGAAGAACUUCCAGCUGGGCAUGGUGGCUCACGCCUGUAAUCCCAGCACUCUGGG
This 352-nucleotide long non-coding RNA is filed under the name Homo sapiens (human). Its description in RNAcentral is "HSALNT0349800". Lineage: Eukaryota; Metazoa; Chordata; Mammalia; Primates; Hominidae. The record is from RNAcentral.